This 607-nucleotide long non-coding RNA is filed under the name Linum usitatissimum (flax). Its description in RNAcentral is "long non-coding RNA (LUSI_LNC001910)". The record is from RNAcentral. Lineage: Eukaryota; Viridiplantae; Streptophyta; Magnoliopsida; Malpighiales; Linaceae.
AGAACCGGCGCCACCGCUUCCUCGCUGCUGAGCUUGCUGCAACGACGGCCAUGCAGGAUUUGAUAACCCUCUGUUAUGGUGGUGGUGGACCAGUGACGGACUCUGUUGCUUUUGGUACAGGUCGGCAGCCUUCCAUAUUCCAGAGCUCUGUUGCUUCAUCAUUUGCUGCUGCCGCAGCUGCUGGAACUGUAGCAAACAAAUAAAAAUCAAUUAAAGUUAGGCAAAAGAUUGCGUGGAAGAUUUCAUUUUCAAAUAAAUUUUUUAAACAGAGCGAUUUUGCUUACUUGAGAUGCCUGCAACUGGUGGUAAGACAGGGACGGCUGCUGGUAAGAAUUCUGACCAUCGCAGUGGUCAGAAUUUUUCAACGGGACAGUGACUGGAGACUGUUCCCUCAGCGAUGGUGGACAUCCGCCUAAUAAUCCUCUACCUCCACCGCCGUUGGUUUUCAUCUUGGCUACCUCGCCGGCAGCAGCAAAGAGCAGAUCCAAAGUCGCCGGUGGCUGUGACAAGACUGGCCGGUUCGUACCUUGCCUGCAACCGCAACCGUUUCCGGUGGCCCCACACAGCGUGGAUUGCGGAGAUCCAGACAAUACACGCCCCUGUAAAA